CCUACGGGAGGCAGCAGUGAGGAAUAUUGGUCAAUGGCCGAGAGGCUGAACCAGCCAAGUCGCGUGAGGGAAGACGGCCCUACGGGUUGUAAACCUCUUUUGUCGGGGAGCAAAAGACGCCACGCGUGGCGUUCCGAGAGUACCCGAAGAAAAAGCAUCGGCUAACUCCGUGCCAGCAGCCGCGGUAAUACGGAGGAUGCGAGCGUUAGCCGGAUUUAUUGGGUUUAAAGGGUGCGCAGGCGGGGGUGCAAGUCAGCGGUCAAAUUGCGGGGCUCAACCCCGUACUGCCGUUGAAACUGCAUCCCUUGAGUGCGCGAGAAGUAGGCGGAAUGCGUGGUGUAGCGGUGAAAUGCAUAGAUAUCACGCAGAACUCCGAUUGCGAAGGCAGCUCACUGGACUGCAACUGACACUGAUGCUCGAAAGUGUGGGUAUCAAACAGGAUUAGAUACCCGAGUAGUC
This 459-nucleotide ribosomal RNA is filed under the name uncultured bacterium. Its description in RNAcentral is "partial 16S ribosomal RNA". It matches the Rfam family "Bacterial small subunit ribosomal RNA", at positions 338 to 795 of the family's 1533-position model. The record is from RNAcentral.